RNAcentral lists this ribosomal RNA (496 nucleotides) under uncultured bacterium. Its description in RNAcentral is "partial 16S ribosomal RNA". It matches the Rfam family "Bacterial small subunit ribosomal RNA", at positions 29 to 523 of the family's 1533-position model. The record is from RNAcentral.
AUUGAACGCUGGCGGCAUGCCUAACACAUGCAAGUCGCACGCGAAAGGGGGCAACCCUGAGUAGAGUGGCGGACGGGUGAGUAACGCGUAGGAAUCUACCUGGUAGUGGGGGACAACCCGGUGAAAACCGGGCUAAUACCGCAUACGAUCCACGGAUGAAAGCAGGGGAACGCAAGGCCUUGCGCUAUCAGAUGAGCCUGCGUCGGAUUAGCUAGUUGGUGGGGUAAAGGACCACCAAGGCGACGAUCCGUAGCUGGUUUGAGAGAACGACCAGCCACACUGGGACUGAGACACGGCCCAGACUCCUACGGGAGGCAGCAGUGGGGAAUAUUGGACAAUGGGGGCAACCCUGAUCCAGCGAUGCCGCGUGUGUGAAGAAGGCCUUCGGGUUGUAAAGCACUUUCGGUGGGGACAAACAAGGUGGAGCUAACGUCUCCGCCUCUGAUGGUACCCAAAGAAGAAGCACCGGCUAACUCUGUGCCAGCCGCCGCAGUAA